This 492-nucleotide ribosomal RNA is filed under the name uncultured bacterium. RNAcentral describes it as "partial 16S ribosomal RNA". It matches the Rfam family "Bacterial small subunit ribosomal RNA", at positions 29 to 507 of the family's 1533-position model. The record is from RNAcentral.
AGUGAACGCUGGCGGUGGGCCUAACACAUGCAAGUCGAACGGAAGCACAGUAAGAGCUUGCUCUUACGGGUGGCGAGUGGCGGACGGGUGAGGAAUACAUCGGAAUCUACUUUUUCGUGGGGGAUAACGGGGGGACACAGACGCUAAUACCGCAUAUGACCUACGGGUGAGAGCAGGGGAUAUUGGGACCUUGCGCGACUGUAUGAGACGAUGCCGCAUUAGCUAGUUGGCAGGGUAACGGCCCACCAAGGCGACGAUCCGUAGCCGAUCUGAGAGGAUGACCGGCCACACUGGAACUGAGACACGGUCCAGACUCCUACGGGAGGCAGCAGUAGGGAAUCUUCCGCACUGGGCGAAAGCCUGACGGAGCAACGCCGCGUGAGUGAUGAAGGUCUUCGGAUCGUAAAACUCUGUUAUUAGGGAAGAACAAAUGUGUAAGUAACUAUGCACGUCUUGACGGUACCUAAUCAGAAAGCCACGGCUAACUACGUG